This 104-nucleotide small nuclear RNA is filed under the name Microcebus murinus (gray mouse lemur). The record is from RNAcentral. Lineage: Eukaryota; Metazoa; Chordata; Mammalia; Primates; Cheirogaleidae.
GUGCUCUUUUUGGCAGCACAUAGACUAAAAUUGGAACAAUUCAGAGAUUACCAUGGCCCCCAUGCAAGGAUGACAUGCAAGUUUGUGAAGUGUUCCAUAUUAAA